UGACGAGUUAAUGAGUAUACUGCCAGCUAGGUCCAAAUCACAGACACACCAGAGCACAGGGCCCUUUUGAUAAAUUUUCUUUAACCCAACGCAUCUAGCACCCUGGCCAACCAUCCCAUAGGUGCUCAUGCUGACUGGGUUGCCAAGGUUACAGGAGCUGAUAUCAUAAUUGGUGUCUGAGCUCUGCCCCCCUAAAUGGCCAUGAGGAGCCACUUCAAUUCAGACUAGGCCACGAAGCUCCUUAGUGAGGAGCUGCCAUGCUGGGCCAUCCACCAUCUGGAUUCCUACGACUCAGGGAAUAGAACACUGCACCUUCCAGAAGCACUUGUUUCUUCGUGGGUACACCACCAGCUGAGAAAGAAGCCUCAUGAUGAUUGUUGUCUUAUGGAUGCUUCUCAUUGCAGGAACCAUGUGGAAGGGAUAUAAAUAUCCCCCAGGAGGGACUCCAGUGGAAGUAAGCAAGGAUGAUCCUGGUGAAGUAAUGCAGCUGUGAAGCUCACCUGACCAGCUGUACAGUUCCUGUUGUUGGUUUCGCAUAAAGUAAUUGCACA
Molecule: long non-coding RNA, 551 nt
Filed under: Pan troglodytes (chimpanzee)
Lineage: Eukaryota; Metazoa; Chordata; Mammalia; Primates; Hominidae
Description: long non-coding RNA NONPTRT002563
Source: RNAcentral